UAGGGAAUCUUCCACAAUGGGCGAAAGCCUGAUGGAGCAACGCCGCGUGUGUGAUGAAGGGUUUCGGCUCGUAAAACACUGUUGUAAGAGAAGAAUGUCAUUGAGAGUAACUGUUCAAUGUGUCACGGUAUCUUACCAGAAAGGAACGGCUAAAUACGUGCCAG
RNAcentral lists this ribosomal RNA (164 nucleotides) under uncultured bacterium. Its description in RNAcentral is "partial 16S rRNA". It matches the Rfam family "Bacterial small subunit ribosomal RNA", at positions 355 to 511 of the family's 1533-position model. The record is from RNAcentral.